This 449-nucleotide ribosomal RNA is filed under the name uncultured bacterium. RNAcentral describes it as "partial 16S ribosomal RNA". It matches the Rfam family "Bacterial small subunit ribosomal RNA", at positions 29 to 523 of the family's 1533-position model. The record is from RNAcentral.
AACGAACGCUGGCGGCAGGCCUAACACAUGCAAGUCGAACGCUGUAGCAAUACAGAGUGGCAGACGGGUGAGUAACACGUGGGAAUCUUCCUAUCGGUACGGAAUAGCUCAGGGAAACUUGGGGUAAUACCGCAUACGCCCUUCGGGGGAAAGAUUUAUCGCCGAUAGAUGAGCCCGCGUCGGAUUAGCUAGUUGGUGAGGUAAUGGCUCACCAAGGCGACGACCAGUAGCUGGUCUGAGAGGAUGACCAGCCACACUGGGACUGAGACACGGCCCAGACUCCUACGGGAGGCAGCAGUGGGGAAUAUUGGACAAUGGGCGCAAGCCUGAUCCAGCCAUGCCGCGUGAGUGACGAAGGUCUUCGGAUUGUAAAGCUCUUUUGGCGGGGACGAUGAUGACGGUACCCGCAGAAUAAGCCCCGGCUAACUUCGUGCCAGCAGCCGCCGCAG